RNAcentral lists this long non-coding RNA (624 nucleotides) under Homo sapiens (human). RNAcentral's name for it is "non-protein coding lnc-BIRC2-1:3". Lineage: Eukaryota; Metazoa; Chordata; Mammalia; Primates; Hominidae. The record is from RNAcentral.
GGCACGGAAAAGGCCAGGCGACAGGUGUCGCUUGAAAAGACUGGGCUUGUCCUUGCUGGUGCAUGCGUCGUCGGCCUCUGGGCAGCAGUUGUUGCCUAAAUUUCCACAAAUAUAUGCCUUGCUGGAGUGCAGUGGUGUGAUCUUGGCUUACUGCAACCUUCACCUCCCGGGUUCAAGUGAUUCUCCUGCUUCAGUCUCCUGAGUAGCUGGAAAUACAGGUUUACAAAGGAGGAAAACGACUUCUUCUAGAUUUUUUUUUCAGUUUCUUCUAUAAAUCAAAACAUCUCAAAAUGGAGACCUAAAAUCCUUAAAGGGACUUAGUCUAAUCUCGGGAGGUAGUUUUGUGCAUGGGUAAACAAAUUAAGUAUUAACUGGUGUUUUACUAUCCAAAGAAUGCUAAUUUUAUAAACAUGAUCGAGUUAUAUAAGGUAUACCAUAAUGAGUUUGAUUUUGAAUUUGAUUUGUGGAAAUAAAGGAAAAGUGAUUCUAGCUGGGGCAUAUUGUUAAAGCAUUUUUUUCAGAGUUGGCCAGGCAGUCUCCUACUGGCACAUUCUCCCAUUAUGUAGAAUAGAAAUAGUACCUGUGUUUGGGAAAGAUUUUAAAAUGAGUGACAGUUAUUUGGAA